Bubalus bubalis (water buffalo) is the source of this 1688-nucleotide long non-coding RNA. RefSeq lists it as uncharacterized. NCBI's taxonomy places the organism in Eukaryota, Metazoa, Chordata, Mammalia, Artiodactyla, Bovidae. The transcript has 3 exons. The record is from RefSeq and is a predicted model, not a curated record.
GCGGGUAAGACUAUGAAUGUUUUACUUUACUUGGCAAGGGAGCUUUGCAGGUGUAAUCAAAGGUAUGGACCUUGAGGUCAGGAGAUUAUCUUUGGUUAAUCACACAGACACAGUGAAUCACGUGAGUCCUAAAAAGGGAAGAAACUUUCCUGGGUGAGUCAGAAAUAUGAAAUGGAAGGGGAAGGAGGUGAGAUUUGAAGGACUCAACUUGUCCUCGCUGGCUCUGAAGGUCAGGGAGGGGGCCAUGAUCCGAGGAAUGUGGUGGCCUCUAGAAGUUGGGAAUGGGCCUCAGUUUACAGGAAGCAAGAAGGCAAGACUUCAGUCCUCCUUCCAUCACAGAGAACUAAAUUCUGCAAGUAACCCAAAUGAGCAAGGAACAGAUUUUCCCUUAAAAUGUCCAGAAGAGAAAUACAGCCUGCAGAUACCUGGUUUGUAGUCUGGGCUGCCUUUAAAUCUUGACCACAAAUUUUCCACGAAGAAGUAGAGGCAAUGUGAUAUGAAGAAUGGAGUAAAUGGGAUGCUCUGAAAAGUUGAUUCAUUUUGAACACCAAGCUAAGGAUCUGGUGAAUUUGGUACUGUGAUGGAUCAUGAAAAGAGAGCCUUUCCCCCUUCUCCUUGAAUUGAGUUCAUCUUGAUAUAUUUUGGUGACAGAAUGUGGUGGAAGUGAUGCUGUGUAAUGAUACCUCUUGGAACUCUAUAAGAAGCCCAAGAAACAUGAAGAGAUCUUGUGGAGGAGGACCCAGGUGCUCAGUCACAGACCCCAGCUGAGCCUCCAGCGGUGUGUGAGUGAGCCAUCUUGGAUUCCAGCCCAGGCCAGUCCCUGGAGAGCAGCCCCAGCUGACAGCAUGUGGAGUGGAGGAACCGCUUAGCUGAGGCAAUUAACUCACAGUAUCUUUAAGGAGAAAAUGAUGACUGUGGUUGUUCUAAACACUGAGUUUGGAGUGCUCUGUUAUGUAUCAAACCCCAUAGAGACAUGAAUACUCUACAAGUUUGCUUUGCAUCCAAUGGCAUUGAUUUGUAAGAUGGCUGGCAGUGGAGUAGCUAUGUUUCUGAAAUAUUUUUUCUUAAAUGUAAUUGCUGAGAGUGGAUAAAAAUCAAAGUUGGGGCCAUGAUGGGAAGAGCUCCAUGCAUACUUAAAUCACUGGAAAACGGGUGAAGAAGAAUGCUGUGGAGACAGUGAGCGGUGCUGGGGAAGAGGUGUCUGUGUGGGGGAGGGCUGCGGCAGUAUUACGUGGUCACUGUCAUGGCUAGUAUGCCCUGGGCGAAGUUCCUGGACUUCCAACUUCUGCCCAGAUUUUUUGAGUUGCCUGAGUAGAUCUUCAUUCUUUUAUUAUUUUCAUAUUGAAUUUGAAGCUCUUUUACAUAAACGUAAUUUUCUUCAGCAUCUGUUGAUUUUUUUGGACCGUGAAAUUUAGCAGGAUAUUAAAAGCAUGAAGACUUACAUGGCAUAAUGCUGAGUUAUGCAAGUUUGAAAUAAAACUUUAUCUAAUUCUAUCACAGAAGUCUGUGUUUUAGAAGCAUAAGGCCUGCCAAACUCACAUAACUUACAUUUACAUUUGUGAAUGCCACCUCAUUCUCCUCCCAAGAUGCUUCUUUGUGCACCAGUGUGGUGGGCCAGUAGAAAAUGCAUUUGCCAAGAGCCUGGGUCAGGUGCCAGCUGCUUUUGGGCUCCUCUGAUAGCCAUGUCC